This 84-nucleotide transfer RNA is filed under the name Candidatus Raymondbacteria bacterium RifOxyA12_full_50_37. RNAcentral describes it as "tRNA-Leu". It matches the Rfam family "tRNA". Rfam says of the family: Transfer RNA (tRNA) molecules are approximately 80 nucleotides in length. Lineage: Bacteria; Candidatus Raymondiibacteriota. RNAcentral also lists the same sequence under 6 other names. The record is from RNAcentral.
GCCGCAGUGGUGGAAUUGGCAGACACACUACUUUGAGGUGGUAGCGGGGUCACUCCCGUGGGGGUUCAAGUCCCUCCUGCGGCA